UUUAUGGAGAGUUUGAUCCUGGCUCAGGACGAACGCUGGCGGCGUGCCUAAUACAUGCAAGUCGAGCGAGGCCUUCGGGCCUAGCGGCGGACGGGUGAGUAACACGUGGGUAACCUGCCUGUAAGACUGGGAUAACUUCGGGAAACCGAAGCUAAUACCGGAUAAUAUUUUUGGUUGCAUGACCGAAAAUUGAAAGAUGGCUUUUAGCUAUCACUUACAGAUGGACCCGCGGCGCAUUAGCUAGUUGGUGAGGUAACGGCUCACCAAGGCAACGAUGCGUAGCCGACCUGAGAGGGUGAUCGGCCACACUGGGACUGAGACACGGCCCAGACUCCUACGGGAGGCAGCAGUAGGGAAUCUUCCGCAAUGGACGAAAGUCUGACGGAGCAACGCCGCGUGAGUGAAGAAGGUUUUCGGAUCGUAAAACUCUGUUGUUAGG
RNAcentral lists this ribosomal RNA (439 nucleotides) under Bacillus coahuilensis m2-6. RNAcentral's name for it is "bacterial SSU rRNA". It matches the Rfam family "Bacterial small subunit ribosomal RNA", at positions 1 to 443 of the family's 1533-position model. Lineage: Bacteria; Bacillati; Bacillota; Bacilli; Caryophanales; Bacillaceae. The record is from RNAcentral.